This 337-nucleotide unclassified non-coding RNA is filed under the name soil metagenome. RNAcentral describes it as "partial contains 5.8S ribosomal RNA, internal transcribed spacer 2, and large subunit ribosomal RNA". The stretch from base 1 to 119 matches the Rfam family "5.8S ribosomal RNA", at positions 35 to 154 of the family's 154-position model. The record is from RNAcentral.
GAUGAAGAACCAGCGAAAUGCGAUACGUAGUGUGAAUUGCAGAAUUCAGUGAAUCAUCGAAUCUUUGAACGCACAUUGCGCCCUUUGGUAUUCCAAAGGGCAUGCCUGUUCGAGCGUCAUUUGUACCCUCAAGCUUUGCUUGGUGUUGGGCGUCUUGUCUCCAGUCCGCUGGAGACUCGCCUUAAAGUCAUUGGCAGCCGGCCUACUGGUUUCGGAGCGCAGCACAAGUCGCACUCUUUUCCAGCCAAGGUCAGCGUCCAACAAGCCUUUUUUCAACUUUUGACCUCGGAUCAGGUAGGGAUACCCGCUGAACUUAAGCAUAUCAAUAAGCGGAGGA